AAAAAAGACACAGAUCCGCAGGAAGCCUCAAACAUCUUAGUGGGUCAUGGACAUUAAGCAGGAAUCAUGAUGGGAAUUGAGAUAUCUGCCUUCCACUUCUGGGUCAUGUGCUCUUACAAUCAAUGUCCUCUCUUAGAGCACUUAUGUCCCUGGAGGAACCACAUCUGUAUUCUUCAUUCACUUGAUGCUUCAAUGUUUAAUGUUGGUUCUCCUUCUCUACUUGCUGAAGAAUAAGAUCACUCGGUCAACACUGAUAAAACACCACCAAGUGAGUGGAGUGAGGUGACCCCUCAUGUGCCCAAUUGGCUAGGUCCAGCUCUGCUCCUUCAUCUUCUCAUCCAUUAUCCCCAGAGAACACCACUAUCCCAAAGUGCAUUCUCUUUCUUCACAUAUAUGGUACUUAGUUUUAACUAUUCCAAAGUUUAUAAAAGUGGAAGUGUAUAGAUGGUGAGGAUUUAGCAACUUGUACUUUCAAUGACACACAGUAUUUCUAAGCUUCAUCUGCGUUAAUGUUACAGUGAUGUUCAUCUACUUUCGUUGGUGUAUGUUCUUGUGUUGAAUAAACUUACCAUGGCUAAUUUAUUGAUUUUAUUCUUACUUCUUUUCUAG
Molecule: long non-coding RNA, 609 nt
Filed under: Cricetulus griseus (Chinese hamster)
Lineage: Eukaryota; Metazoa; Chordata; Mammalia; Rodentia; Cricetidae
Description: lncRNA (ENSCGRG00015031498.1)
Source: RNAcentral